This is a long non-coding RNA of Medicago truncatula (barrel medic), 703 nucleotides long. RefSeq lists it as uncharacterized. The transcript is spliced from 2 exons. NCBI's taxonomy places the organism in Eukaryota, Viridiplantae, Streptophyta, Magnoliopsida, Fabales, Fabaceae. The record is from RefSeq and is a predicted model, not a curated record.
UUCAUAAUUUUUUUUUUCAUCAUCUUCAAAAACCCAAUUUUUUUUUCUUUCAAAAAUUCAUCACCACACAGAUUUUCGUGCUCCUAGUUCUUUCAGUAUCAUCUUUAUCAAUUUUCAUACAAAAAUUGAAUCAAAGCUAAAAUUAAAAACACAGCUUAAAUUCAACAUCAAAUUAUGCUUUUAAAACCCCAAUCUUCAUGUCUUCCAUAACUCAGAUCUACUCCUUCUAAUUCUAAUUCCAAUUCCAAACUGCUUGCCACAAUAACUCGCAAAUCACUGUUCUGCACUCAUCUAACUCGCUAUUCACUGUUCUGAGAUAUGGGUUUUGCAAGAAAUGACGAUUUCGCUCCAUAAUCUCAUCUGGGUCGUGCUUAUUUUCACCUUCUCAUAUGGGUCGUGCUUAUUUUCACCUUCUCAACCAUGGGGUUUCAAGCAGCCGCCGCAAGGAACGUGAAGGGAAGGUUGUGCAAGUUUAUGGCAGGAAAUGGGUGAUUCAUAUUGAGAGUAUAACUCGUGAGGAUUUGUUUGUGUUAUUGUUGAUUAUUCAAACUGUUGAUUAGUGAAUUUGUUUGAAACUUGAUUUUGUUGGUGGUUUGAAUGUUUUGUGGUUUAGAUGACCUAUUUUAGAAUUUGAGAAGUUUAUGAUUUUUGAUUUAGAUCUGAAUUAAUUUUGAAUGGUUUAGAUUGAAUUAUUUUUGAUUCA